UACGGGGGGGGUAAGCGUUGUUCGGAAUUACUGGGCGUAAAGGGCUCGUAGGCGGCCAACUAAGUCAGACGUGAAAUCCCUCAGCUUAACUGGGGAACUGCGUCUGAUACUGGAUGGCUUGGAUUCGGGAGAGGAAUGCGGAAUUCCAGGUGUAGCGGUGAAAUGCGUAGAUAUCUGGAGGAACACCGGUGGCGAAGGCGGCGAUCUGGGUAGAUACUGACGCUGAGGUGCGAAAGCGUGGGGAGCAAACAGG
Molecule: ribosomal RNA, 253 nt
Filed under: uncultured bacterium
Lineage: Bacteria
Description: partial 16S ribosomal RNA
Rfam family: Bacterial small subunit ribosomal RNA
Source: RNAcentral